CUUUUUUGUCUUAAUGUAUAUUAAUUUGUAAAGGAAAGAGGAAUACCCAAUAUAAUGGUCGGAAAACCAUUAUAUUGGGUAAGGAAAGAAAUAUACCCGGGGGUCUCUAAAACCCCUCGCUCGAUUGGGUAACCCGGGGUCUCUAAAACCCCUCGAUUGGGUAAGCAUCCUAAGAUGGUAAGGAAAGAGAAAUACUCAAUAUAUGGGUCUUAAAAAUCCAUNGGGUAUUUCUCUUUUUUUUUUUGCUUUAUUUGAWCCCUANUUUUUUUUCUUCUUCAUUACAGAUUUAUUAUCGUUAUCGUUUCUUGCAUCUCUCGCGAAAUUCCGGGUAGGCGCGAAUUCUCCCAAUUUGUAACCUAUCAUAGAAUCUGUUAUAUAAAUAGGUAAAUGUUCCUUUCCAUUAUGAAUACCGAUUGUAUGGCCAACCMUUGGAGGUAUAAUGGUAGAUGCCCGAGACCAAGUGACUAUAAUUUCUUUCUCCUCCCCCAUUUUGAUUUUUUGAAAUUUUUCCGAUAAAUGCUUAGCUACAAAUAUUUUUUUUUGACGUAUCACAGCUGAUUACUCCUUUUUUUACAUGUUAAAGAUUGGCAUUCUAUGUCCAAUAUCUCGAUCUAAGUAUGGAGGUCAG
RNAcentral lists this unclassified non-coding RNA (628 nucleotides) under Gahnia sieberiana. RNAcentral's name for it is "partial miscellaneous RNA". Lineage: Eukaryota; Viridiplantae; Streptophyta; Magnoliopsida; Poales; Cyperaceae. The record is from RNAcentral.